CCUGGUGCUUGCCAGCCCAAGCAGAGAACGUCACUCCCUGUUUUAAUGUCUCCGUGGGUUUCUAUAACACAACUGCAGAAGUUUCUGGAACCAAAGUCUGUUGCCAGGGAUGGAACCUGCAUGGGACCAGACUAGACCCUCUGCAUACAGGAGACAGUUGUUUAGCUGGGUCUGUUUGAGGGGCCCCUGGCAGUGGGAUCAGGAUCUGUCCCUGGUUCAUGAGCUGACUUUCUGGAGCCCAUUACCUAUGAUAUCCUGUGUUUCCAAGGAGACCCUCCAAGAAACUUCCAAGAGACACGUAAGUCAAGUGGAUCUUGUUUAAUUUUCUGCUUAUUCCUGUCAGUGACCCAGUGGGGUAGGAUCCAAAUACCACAUUUUAUAACUCAAGAACCCAAAGAGGGUUUACUCACCAGUCCUAUGUUCUUCCUUUGUAAAUGGUGGUGUCAGGAUUUGAAGACAUUUAUAUAUAUAGACCAUAACCUUCUUACCCUACUUUCUUUAGAUAACUGGAAACCUUGGAUUAGAACAUUCCCACAGAAUAAGAAAACAUUCUAGAUCAGGAAUCUCCUAACAGCUAAAUAAUACCAGAAACUGGAAGGGAGGGUAUUUGGGACUGUGAACUUAGAGGAUGCACCUUGGAUCUUGAGUUCUGGGGAGUCAUCUGCUUCAUCUGCAGGAAAGUGCAGCUUUGUAAGGAUGACAUCGGCACCUCUAGUUCCCCCAGGUCUUAGGAGGAACGGCAUUCCUAAGAAUGACUGUGUUUACAUUGGAUAAAACCAGAAGAGUCAACAUGGUUGUUUCUGCAUCAGAGUACUUUUUACAGAUGUUCUCUUUGCCUUUACAGUUUCACAGGCAUCCUGACCGUGAGGUAGUUGUCUGCCACGUGAAAAGACUCAGCAAGGGUGGAAAGAUGAAACUGUUAGACCCGAACAAUAAUAUACACACAGGAUUCUAGGCUGGGGUAAAUGCUCGGGUUUGUUAGCUGAACAGCUGCUGAUUAUCCCUCUGGGAUCUGUCUAGCUUUGGAGAAGCCAUUUCCCCUUUCUUCUUCAGGCAACAGAACUUGCUGGAGCCUGGAAUACAAUUUAAGAGCACAGUCAGAUGGGAUUUGCACUUCGUCCACCCCAGCAAAGUCACUCCUUGGCCAUUAUUUUUCACUCUAUUGUAAAUAGCAAGAGGCAGAUGAAAAGGUAAAAAAAAAAAUAUGUUGGUUGGAAGAUACUUACCCUUGCCUACCUAGGGUAAUCAAGGGGAGACAUCAGCUCUGGAUUUGGUAAGUAAUAACUCACAUUUGACUUUAAUAUACCAUGAUAAACUUUGAGGAAUAUAUCUUUUAAAACAUAAAAUGCUUUACCUCUGAUUUAAAGUUUGGGGGAUUGGUCCUGCACCGUAGGCAGGUUAGAUUUAGCAUCUCUGGAAAUUCCAGAGUAAUUUUAAAAUCCUCUUUUUGAUCACUAGCUGCAGCUCCAGCUUUCAAAGAGAAUGAGAUGUUUUGGGAAUGAAUUGUGAUGGACUUAUAUGAAAAUUUAUAUGACCAAGAAUUGGAUUUGUUCCCCUGGAAUAUUAUAGAUUAUGUUUUAUGUUGGAAUUACAUCAGUGCUCAGAGCAGCAGAAGGCUGGCUUAAUGUAGCUAAAAAUAUACCUUGGCUUUCCACUUGGAAUAGAGCCCCCCACCCUCCCCAAUCCGUUUCUCCCCUAAUGAAAAUAAUGCCUUCAUGACUCAUAUAUGUGAUAGACAGUAGGGAAUAUUUGAGUCUUAAAAUGAGAACUUUGAGAAAGGACUAAUGGUCCUUUUCUUAUUUCUUUCCCAUCCAUCUCUUCCCUCCUGUUUGCCCUGUCAGCUUCCUACUUCAGGCUUUCGGCACCCAGUGCCUUACCGUAAUGGCUCCUUUCUCUGUCUCCAGUCCCCCUUGUUUUGAUGUGUCCUGCACACCUCUGCGUAGCCAGUCUUCCUUCUCUCAUAUUUUACUCUCUCCCUGCCAUUCAUUAGUGGUCUGCCAUUGGCUCCCCAAUAAACUGUAAAUGUAGCAUCUGACCGCCAUCUACAACAUGUUACCUAGAACUGGGCAGUAGGUUUCUUUAAAGGAUCACGUAAUUGGCCUUGCUCUUGCUCUCUCUGUCUCUGUCUCUGUCUGUCUGUCUGUCUCUCUUGCUCUGUGUAUGUGUGAGUGCACAUGCAUGUGUGUGCAUAAAUUUGUAGUAGUGUAUGCGCAUGCAUGUUUGUGCAUUUGCAUUCCUAUGUGUGGGUGCUUGUGGAGGCCAGAGGCCCACCUCGGAUGUCUUUCCUAAGAUGCUGUCCACCUUUUUUUAUUGACAGGCUCGCUCACUGAUCUGGAACUCUCCAAUUCACCUAGGCUGCCAGGCCGGUGGACCCCAGGGAGCCACCUUUCUGCGCCUCCCCAGUUCUGAGAUUUCAAGAAUUCUCUACCAUGUCUUCUUUUGUUUGUUUGUUUUUCUCUUUUGUGUGCAACUUGGGGAUUGAACUAGAAUUCUCAAAGCAAUAAUAGAUGGAUAUGUAUUGUUGUUUAAACGAAAGUUAUCAAAGAAAUGAGUUAAGUGAUAACUUUGCAGGGUAUGUGGAUCUGUUGAGGGCUUUUAGAACAUUGGAAUCCAAUUUCCAUUUCCUCUUCCAGUGGGCAGUUCCACAAACUCACCUUAUGAGUCAGGGGUGGUUCUCACGCCUACAUGAGAAACCAUAGGACCAUGACAAAACCAUCAAGGUAACCCUGGCAUUGUCCAGGCUUCUCACCCUCUUAACAGUUGCAGGAACUGUUGCCUUACAUUGCAAAGCUAUGCAGUCUUUUGAAACAUUAAAGUGCAUUUCUAAAGAGCCUCAGCGACAAACGAUGAGUAGCUUAGCUACUGAAUCUUGUUCAAUAUCCUUAUUUUAUUUUUUUAAAAAAAUUUACGGGAACUUGCUAUUAAGUGAGGAUCCACUGGCAGAAAGUGCUGAAAGAAGAAACAAGGGGGAUAUAGGGAGGGCUGAACCUAAUGAAAGCUUUGUAUCCACAAAAUAAGUUGUGGCUUUGUAAAUUCACUCUAAGUACAUUUGAGGAACAAUAAGCCAUAAAAGAGGUUGCCAUGACCUUGGAUUCUGCACAGCUUUGGAGAUAAAAGGUCUAAGCAUCAGAAAGCAUUUGGUUGACCAUAGUGUUGUUGACUGAUUAAAAUCCAUUCAUGAUCCUAGAACCCUCCAGUGGAAUGCUGAUGAGGGUUGGCCUGGAUGCAGUGUGCACAAUGGAGUCUCCUGAAGCAGAGUUCAAAGUUGUUUCGCGAAAAUGGAACACUAAAAGGUAUCCUGUAUUUAUGAUUUGCUUCUUCCACCUGGAUGAGAUGUCUGAAAUUCAAAAUUAUACAUCAAUUAGGCAUAUUUCCACGAUUACUUUCCAAGGAGUCUGCUAUCGAAGGUGAUGUGUGGCCCUGGCUUCCUUUUCCACAUGAUGCUUUUGCAAGUCGAAGAUUAUGGACGUGGGGGCAGCCUUUGAAGACUUUGCAGUAAAAGCAGCUGUUUUCUACACUGUUACUUUGGGUUGUCUUCCCCAGCGCCUCAGCCCCAGAGACGUAAGAUGACAAGUUUAUCAAGGGCCCUGACGAGAUGACAUUUUAAGUCCUUUCAAUCAGCCUUAGUGAAUCUUGUUGAAAAUGUGAGGGAAAAAAUGCAGAAGUGUAUUAUUUCCCAGAAAUAAUAGCAGUGACUGUUCAAGGUGAAAGGGAUUAAGAGUUGAGAGAGAGUGGAGUGGAGAAGGUUGCAAUGGUCCCUUCCUGGGCUCUCCCAACAAUUGCCAACUUCCAGUUUGGGGCCUCUGUCCGUUUGGAGUUGCUGUUUUCUGUGGCUUCUUUUCUUUUUCCACCUAACUGCCAUAGGCAAUUCCCUCGCAUUUCUGCUCACGGCCACACGUUGCCCUGCAGGCAGACCUUGGCUACAUGAUGUACUUUUAUAGCCAGGUUCUGAGCCGGUAACAAGGAGCAAUGCAGACCUAAGAGGCAUUUGAAUCUUCUUCCGACAUGAAAACAGUUUGCAAUUAUGAGUCCCCAUUUCAUUUUUAUGCACUUACCUUCAGUUUAAUGUUUAAAAGAAGUGUCUCAGGAAAUAAAGAUGAUGUUACCCAAGGAAAAAAAAAACACAGUGAGCAGCUUUUAUAGAUCCAUGUACUGGGUGGCUAAUGAGUUUAGGGCUCUGAAAAAAAUGAAUCAAGUCAAUCAGGCUAUAAACUCAAGCAUGAGCAGUGUAUCAUAUACAGUUGGGUUUCUCACUAUUAGUGUUAGUCAAUCAGGCUAUAAACUCAAGCAUGAGCAGUGUAUCAUAUACAGUUGGGUUUCUCACUAUUAGUGUUUAAAAUAAAUGUUAAACGAUCAAGCUCUCCCGAAAACAUCUUCUACUAUGUUAAAGCUGUAUCAGCUUACUCAUCCCAAGUACUUGAUUGUGGGUUAAGGUUUCUCAGGUACACUAUCACAUGUCCAGCUCACAGAAGUCUGGUAGAGGGCUGUCACUGCCUGUGGGUGAGGAGGCAGGUGAGGGUACUAGCAGGUCCUCCCAGGUACACAGCUAGUGAAAGGCGGAGCUGCAGCGUGCACCUUGUGUGCCUCUAGUUCCCAUUGUCACCCAAACUAUAGUCCCCAGAUAUGCUGAUCAGAAGUUGGACUGUCUUGCGGAAUGACUCUUUUCAUCCCUGCCAGCUCUUCAAGGCAGCUGAUCUUGCUGGUGUGUGGUUAGGACACACCUUAGAUGUCUGUUUAAGGCGAGCUGGAUAACUAAUGAUUGGCUUUUGCAAACUCAAGCCUAGUCUGGGAAGCUGCCCUGAACCUGCUGUCCAAUCCCAAUGGAAACUCUGAAAAGUUGGGUUGAAAUCCUCAUCGUAGUUCUUUCUGAGUUUCUGGUGCUAUGAUUAUCAUGGAUGUUUCCUCUUCCCUUUCUGUGGUGAUUCCUGAGGGAUGCAUGUGCACACUCUUUUCAUAGGGAGGGUCCCAGCAUAGUGUCUGGCAGCAAGUAUGUGUCACCUGCUUUUCAGCUGAUUGAACAGCUGAGGAACAAAAGCAAAAUGGGUCUCUCAACUUUCAGGUGACAAUAGACUCAUCCCUGAAGGAGGUGUUUUGAAUUCAACCCUCUUGUCUUUGUCUUCCACUCAGUAUCCAAGCUGAUCUUUGUUGGUGUUCAUAUAGUUCUUUUGGGCCAAAAUACAUUCUGAUUUUUACUUUUAACUCAAAGCAAAAUUUGUAUUGGUAUGUAAAAAUGUAAGGAAUAUAGGAAGACACAAAGACGAUAAAAUGCUCUCUGAUGCUUACCAUUUUUUAUCUGUUGCUGCUCUUUG
Long non-coding RNA from Peromyscus californicus insignis, 5309 nucleotides. RefSeq lists it as uncharacterized. The record is from RefSeq and is a predicted model, not a curated record. NCBI's taxonomy places the organism in Eukaryota, Metazoa, Chordata, Mammalia, Rodentia, Cricetidae. The transcript is spliced from 5 exons.